This 468-nucleotide ribosomal RNA is filed under the name uncultured bacterium. RNAcentral's name for it is "partial 16S ribosomal RNA". It matches the Rfam family "Bacterial small subunit ribosomal RNA", at positions 28 to 507 of the family's 1533-position model. The record is from RNAcentral.
GACGAACGCUGGCGGCGUGCUUAACACAUGCAAGUCGAACGGAAAGGCCCUGCUUUUGUGGGGUGCUCGAGUGGCGAACGGGUGAGUAACACGUGAGUAACCUGCCCUUGACUUUGGGAUAACUUCAGGAAACUGGGGCUAAUACCGGAUAGGAGCUCCUGCUGCAUGGUGGGGGUUGGAAAGUUUCGGCGGUUGGGGAUGGACUCGCGGCUUAUCAGCUUGUUGGUGGGGUAGUGGCUUACCAAGGCUUUGACGGGUAGCCGGCCUGAGAGGGUGACCGGCCACAUUGGGACUGAGAUACGGACCAGACUCCUACGGGAGGCAGCAGUGAGGAAUAUUGCACAAUGGGCGGAAGCCUGAUGCAGCAACGCCGCGUGCGGGAUGACGGCCUUCGGGUUGUAAACCGCUUUCGCCUGUGACGAAGCGUGAGUGACGGUAAUGGGUAAAGAAGCACCGGCUAACUACGUG